GGCUCAGAUUGAACGCUGGCGGCAUGCCUUACACAUGCAAGUCGAACGGUAACGGGCCUUCGGGUGCCGACGAGUGGCGAACGGGUGAGUAAUGCAUCGGAACGUACCUUCAGUGGGGGAUAACGUAGCGAAAGUUACGCUAAUACCGCAUAUUCUGUGAGCAGGAAAGCAGGGGAUCGCAAGACCUUGCGCUGAUUGAGCGGCCGAUGUCAGAUUAGCUAGUUGGUGAGGUAAAGGCUCACCAAGGCGACGAUCUGUAGCGGGUCUGAGAGGAUGAUCCGCCACACUGGAACCGAGACAUGGUCCAGACUCCUACGGGAGGCAGCAGUGGGGAAUUUUGGACAAUGGGGGCAACCCUGAUCCAGCCAUGCCGCGUGAGUGAAGAAGGCCUUCGGGUUGUAAAGCUCUUUCGGCCGGGAAGAAAUCGCAUGGGCUAAUACCCUGUGCGGAUGACGGUACCGGCAUAAGAAGCACCGGCUAACUACGUG
RNAcentral lists this ribosomal RNA (488 nucleotides) under uncultured bacterium. RNAcentral describes it as "bacterial SSU rRNA". It matches the Rfam family "Bacterial small subunit ribosomal RNA", at positions 21 to 507 of the family's 1533-position model. The record is from RNAcentral.